CACGGGGGGAGCAAGCGUUGUUCGGAAUCACUGGGCGUAAAGGGCGUGUAGGCGGUCAGGUUAGUGAGAUGUGAAACGCCCCGGCUCACCCGGGGAUCUGCAUCUCAAACUGCCUGGCUUGAGUAUGGGAGAGGAUGAGGGAAUUCCUGGUGUAGCGGUGAAAUGCGUAGAUAUCAGGAGGAACACCGGUGGCGAAAGCGCUCAUCUGGCCCAAUACUGACGCUGAGGCGCGAAAGCUAGGGGAGCAAACGGG
Molecule: ribosomal RNA, 253 nt
Filed under: uncultured bacterium
Lineage: Bacteria
Description: partial 16S ribosomal RNA
Rfam family: Bacterial small subunit ribosomal RNA
Source: RNAcentral